RNAcentral lists this long non-coding RNA (11012 nucleotides) under Medicago truncatula (barrel medic). RNAcentral describes it as "long non-coding RNA (MTRU_LNC003649)". The record is from RNAcentral. Lineage: Eukaryota; Viridiplantae; Streptophyta; Magnoliopsida; Fabales; Fabaceae.
AUCUAUUACCUGUACCUUUUAGAAGAAGAAAGUGACAGUGAAAGUGAAGACAGUGAUAGUGAUACAGAUACUGAUAUUGAUACGGAAACUGAAAGUACUGGAAGGACAAAUGAAGUUCCUGAUGAUCAAUAGAAAAGGAAACAGCUGCAAUUUUGUUAGUACAAAAGGGAUGAUUCGGAAACUUGAGCUUUAUGCUCUCAUAAGUUAAAUUGCUUGUGAAUUUUGAGAGCCAUGUUACAAUGUGACUAAUAGAUAAGAAAAAUGACAUGCAUUUUGGUUAUUUUGAAUUUUCAAGUUAACUAGGAAAUUUAUUAUUGUUUUAUGAAAUUAGUAGUUUUGGAUUAUUGAACUAAAGUGCCAUAAGAAACAAUUUUUCCUCUUUGCUAUGCACAGCUUUGAUUUCUGUUUCUUCUGUUUUUCAUGUUACCCUAAAGUCAGGUCUGUUGGUAUUUGUUCUGCUCAUGGAGGAGAUUCAGUAUUGAUUUAUUUAACCACCAACAGUGUGGAAAUAUAACUAGAAGUUUUUUCUUCUGUUAGACUGAUGUUAGUAUUUAUGUAAGUUCCUAACGUUCUAACUUAAGACUCUUUCAGUGUCACUAGCUCAUCAACCAAGCUGCCUAGUUAAGGUGACAAUAUUGUUGGUUACUGCCUAGUCCCCAAUUCUAUCAUCAAACAUCCAUUUGAAUUUUCAAGUUAGUGAGGAAGUUUAUUUUAUUGUUGUAUGAAAAUAGUAGUUUUGUGCUGUGGCAAUAGAAACAAUUUUGUUUCUUUGCCGUGCACACCUUCAUUUCUGUUUCUUCUGAUUUUCAUGUUACCUAGAGUCGGGUCUGUUAGUAUUAGUGCUCAACAGCUAGGCUUGUUCUGCUAAGAGCUUUUUUUAGCAUAUGAGAAUCCCCCGGACCCCAACUACCAAUUGUGUGGGGAUAUAGCUAGAAGUUUUUUUUUGAUAGACUAAUGUUAGUGGUUAUGUUAGUUUUUAGGGUUCUAACCUUGAACAUUCGACUUAACUUCUUUGGUGUUGCUUAGGUCAUAAACCGAGCCACCUAGUUAAGGUGAUAUUAUUGUUGUCUUGUCUUCAAUUCUAUCAUCAAACACCUAUUUGUUAUUUAGCUUUGCCUAAUGAAAUGCUUAGGUUUUAUGGUUAAAAAAAAAAAUCAGCUGUCAUAUUAAAUCUGUUUGAUUAGUUUUUUAAAAGGCAUGAUGUUAUCUCCUAGUGUGUUUUACUUCUUUUCUGCUAAUUACCUUUUGAUGUUAUCGAUCAUUCUGAUCUUUUUUUGGUAGUCUCACUUUUAGCAGCUAGUGUUUCAAAGGGAGUUUUGGGAAGAAAAAAAUUUGUUGAGAAAAAAUGGAUUAAAAACACAAACUAUUAAUGUAUUCAAAAUAUUGACCUGACAACAUAAUGUAGUGUGACACUCUCAUCUCAUGUGCCAUUCAUAUAACAAUAAUGCUACUUAUCACGAAACUUUUUGUGCCGACAAAAUCACGAUGUAUGGAAAUAACAGAGUACCACUGCCUCCUUUCUCUUUAGCCGCACAUGUAUUUCAAAUAAACAGCAGAUCUGACGGUGGAAAGGCAUUCGUGAAACACUCGGGAUGAUUUCUUCGUUGUAAAUAGCAGCGCCCUUAAUAUAAUUAAUUGUUGCAAUAACCACAUGUUGGCCAUGUCAUUGCUUUUGCAUGGGAUCCCAAAAAACGCAGAACUCGAUAAAACCUGUUAUUUGUGUGAAACCAAAAAAAUAUGUAAAGAUGAAAACUAUAUUUUAUUCUUGUAGUGAUUGCAUAUCCAAAUAUAAUAUUGAUGUACAGUAUAUCUGUAGAUGAAAAUUUGAACAUAACUGAUUGGAACAGCGUGAUAAUGAGAAUGCAUGGAAUAUUGAUGUAUCCUUAAUUGGAACAGCGUGAUAAUGAGAAUGCAUAGAAUAUUGAUGUAUCCUUAGCUGAAAAUUUGAAUUUCACAGAUCUCAGAACAUGGUGGUUAGUUGUCUACUAUUUUAAAUUUUUAAUUAGUUGAAAGAGUUGAAAAAUAGCACAUCAAUAACUUAAGAAGUGGACUUUCUUUGUUCUACUUAAUUUAUUUGAGUUUCCUUUGAAUUUUUAAAAGCAAAAAAAAUAAAGAAUAAAGCUCACGUUUUACCCACGUCAUUAUAAUAUAUAAGCAUGAUCAAGAUGCACAAUUUUUAAUCAAGUAAUUGGGCUUAAGUGAUUAAUGAACUUCCCUCUAGAACGAAUCGUUUGGAGAACUGAGUUCGAUUGGAACAAUUUUUUGUUAGACUUUACUUACAUAUCUGCCGAAUUACGGAUUACUAAGGUCUCUUCUCCAUUGAAACCGAAGAGUUAACACAAAAAAAAAAAAAAAAAAAACGCAAUCUUCCAAUUCAUAUUAUCGUUGUUUUUAAAAGAUAUCAUAAUAAUGGGUUUAUACUACUGGUAGUAUAUAUACACUACUAGCUUUGGUAACAUUUGUAUCCAUAGAUAUACCUUUUUGUCAGGAGAAAAAAAAAAUCUAUACAAAAACUACUUCGGUGUUCUAAUCCUUUCUGUUCAAUAUGUCUAUUGAAAAAUAUGGAGAACACUCGAGUGGUUUCACCUAUGAUGUUUUCCUAAGUUUUAGAGGAGAAGAUGUGCGGCACAAUUUUAUUGGUUAUCUUCGCGAUGCAUUGCAGCAUCGGGGAAUCAAUGCUUUCUUUGAUGACAAGAAUCUGAGAAUAGGGGAAGACAUUUCACCUGCACUUUCAAAAGCCAUUGAAGAAUCUAAGAUCGCAGUUAUUGUUUUUUCUGAGAAUUAUGCAUCUUCCAGGUGGUGCCUUGGCGAACUCGUUAAGAUAAUCGAAUGUACGAAAAGAAACAAAAAACAAAUUUCUUUUCCAAUCUUUUUCCAUGUUGAUCCAUCAGAUGUAAGACAUCAGAAAAAUAGUUACGAGAAAGCCAUGGUUGAUCAUGAGGUUAAGUUUGGAAAAGACUCUGAAAAUGUAAAAGCAUGGAUAACAGCAUUGUCUGAAGCAGCAGACUUGAAAGGCCACCAUAUCAAUACCGGGUAUGUAACUAAAGUUGUCUUAUAUGUAGAAAUAGUCUUGUAUGUCACAAGAUCAAAUCUAUAAUGUUUAGGCACAGUACAUAUUCUUCUAGUUCAAAAGGUCCUUGUCUCUGACUCUUUUUCAAGUCUAUAUUUUAUGUUGAUAAUGUUGGAUUUUAGUUCAUGGCAUGAUCCGCUUAGGUACUUGUAAAUUAAAGUAAAAUACUUCCAAGAACAAAAAUAUUGAUUAAGCAUGAGUGAAUUUGAACUAUAUAAACAUUUAUCAUAUAAAUACUUGUAAAUAUAAGUAGUUUCUUUGAUUAAAAAAUUUACGAACUGUGUUAUCCUAUACUGAUGUUCAAGUAAGUGAAUCGCAUUUUUGUUUAAAAAUGAGUGGUAACUAUUAUGCUAGAAUGAAACAAGUCUUGAUUUUUGAAAAAAUUACGUGUCAUAUUCUUGCAGAUCCGAAAUUGACCACAUUAAAGAGAUUGUUGAAAAGGUCCAUGCUAACAUUGCUCCUAAACCUUUGCUUUAUGGUGAUGAUCCAGUUGGACUUGAACAUCAUACAGAAAAUGUGAUGUCACGUCUAGACAAUACUGAUCAUACAGUAAUGUUGGGUAUACAUGGACUUGGUGGAAUAGGGAAAACAGAACUUGCCAAAUCAUUGUAUAACAAAAUUGUGCACCAAUUUGAAGCUGCAAGUUUUCUUGCCAACGUUAGAGAGAAAUCAAACAAAAUCAAUGGCCUAGAAGAUCUUCAAAAGACACUUUUAUCAGAGAUGUUUGAGAAGCCAGAUACCGAUCUGGGAAGUACAAGUAAAGGAAUCAAAGAAAUAAAGCAAAAGCUGGGCAAUAAAAAGGUUCUUUUGGUUCUUGAUGACGUUGAUAACAAAGAACAAUUAAAAAAUUUGGCAGGAGGAAGUGAUUGGUUUGGCCCAGGUAGUAGGAUCAUUAUAACUACAAGGGACAAAGGUUUGCUCAUAGGUACUCAUUCUUUUGUUGUUCAAAAGAUUUAUGAAAUGACUGAACUUAAUGAGAAAGAUUCUCUUGAGUUGUUUUGUCGGAAUGCCUUUGGAAAGAGCCAUCCUGAAACAGGCUAUGAAGCUGUGUCUUCUCGUGCGGUUGGAUAUGCCAAGGGUCUUCCAUUGGCUUUAAAAGUAAUAGGUUCUAAUUUGGGUGGUGGAAAGAGUUUAAGAGCUUGGGAAGAUGCAUUGAAAAAUUACGACAGGAUUCCACGUAGAGGAAUUCAAGAGGUGCUCCAAGUAAGCUACAAUGUGUUGGAGCCCAAUGCCCAGAGUGUUUUCCUAGAUAUAGCAUGCUUCUUCAAAGGGGAUAGAGUAGAUUAUGUUGAAGAGAUACUUGAUGACUUCGCUGCAGUAACUGGUAUUGAAGAACUUGUUAAUAAAUCUCUCUUAAUAGUUAAAGAUGGCUGCUUGGAUAUGCAUGAUCUAAUACAAGAGAUGGGCAGAGAUAUUGUCAAGCAAGAGUCGCCACGAAAUCCCGCCAAACGUAGUAGAUUAUGGUCUCAUAAAGAUAUUAUUAAAGUAUUAUCAAAUGAAAAAUAUGUAAGAAUCAAAUCAUUUACUUUUAUUUUAUGUAUUUAUAAAUUAUCGACGUGGUAGAUCACAAUUACAUACCUUUUUCGGAAACCCUGAUUUUAUCUUUUUUACUUGUUUUAAAGGGAAGUGAUGUACUUCAAGGGAUAAUGCUUGAUCCUCCCCAACCUAUAAAACAACAAGAUUGGAGUGAUACUGCCUUUGAGCAGAUGAAUUGCCUCAGAAUUCUCAUUGUUCGAAAUACAACAUUUUCAUCGGAGCCUAAACAUCUACCAGAUAAUUUAACUCUGCUUGAUUGGGAGGAGUACCCUUCAAAGUCAUUUCCCGCAAUGUUUCAUCCAGAGGAAAUCAUCGUCUUCAAUUUGCCUGAAAGCAAACUUACACUGGAAGAGCCAUUUAAGGUAAACUCGUAGCUUUUUAUAUGUUAUUUUUUGUUUUAUUUUUAUUUUUAUAUAUAACAAUAAUAACUAUGUUUGUUUGACUUUUCUUUUGGCAGGUAUUUUCAAAAUUGACUAUCAUGAAUUUCUCAAAAAAUGAAUCUAUCACCGUAAUUCCCGAUGUUUCAGGAGUCGAAAAUUUGAGAGUACUUAGACUUGAUAAUUGCACUAACCUAAUUAUGGUUCAUGAAUCCGUUGGGUUUCUCGAACACCUUACUCACUUCAGCGCUUCAGGAUGCGCCAAACUUCGAAAUUUCCAGCAAAAAAUGUUUUUACCAUCCCUUGAAUUCCUUGACCUUAACUUAUGUGUUGAACUUGAACACUUCCCAGAUAUACUGAACAAGAUGAAUAAGCCAUUGAAGAUUUAUAUGAUAAAUACUGCAAUUGAGGAGUUGCCAGAUUCCAUUGGUAAUCUUAUCGGGCUUGUUUCUAUCGAGAUGACAAGUAGUUGGAAGCUCAAAUAUAUACCAUGUAGCUUAUUCACACUACCAAAUGCUGUCACCUUUAAAUUUGGAGGAUGUUCUCAACUUGCCUUGAGAAGAUUUCUACAUGAUAUCCCUUCAGCAGCCAAUGGUCGUUCAACAUUAAAAGCAUUGCAUUUUGGAAAUAGUGGUUUGUCUGAUGAAGAUCUUAAGGCAAUUCUUAUCUCUUUUCUUGAAUUACAAGAGUUGAUUGCAUCUGACAAUAAUUUUGUCUCUCUCCCUGUGUGCAUUAAAGACUCUGCUCACUUGACAAAGCUUGAUGUCAGUGGUUGCAAUAUGCUUCGAGAAAUUCCUGUAUGCAUCAACUUAAGAAUUCUGAAUGUUUACGGUUGUGUGAUGCUUGAACACAUAUCAGAGUUGCCAUGCACUAUUCAAAAAGUAGAUGCAAGAUACUGCAUCCGCUUGAAUAGAGAGACGUCGGAGAUGUUAUGGUAUCAGGUACUUCACCUCUUUAUAGCUUGUGCGAAAUAAAUUUGAUGCCUAGCUUUAUUUUAGGAGGUAAUAAGGGAGAUAUGUAUGUGUAUUAUUUACCUCAUUUUAGUUUAUCAAAAUAUAAAAGAAUAAGAAUCGUAACAUAAAAACGUGCCGUGUAAGUAUCAUUUUACUUUUAUAAUGUCUUCUAUGUGGCAAGUUAAUGUUGUCAUUCGUUUGUGGGUCAAAAUUCACUCUUUUAUAAUGCUAGCUUUAUAUAUCACAGUCACAGUGCAAACGUGGACUUUAGUGACAAAUAUAUGCUACCGAUUUUUUGGUUUUUGUAAUAUGACAGGUGAAAAGCGAGAGACGUGGAUUACAGAUUGUGAUGCCUCAAAAGAAAACUGGGGUUCCAAAUUGGUUUGACUACAGCUGCAAAGGAGGGAAUCCGCGGUUUUGGGUUCGUAAGAAGUUCCCCAAUGUUGCUUUAGCAUUGGUAUUCGAGGGAGUGACCGGGAGGGCCAGAAAAUCUCGUCGGCUACUUGUUGAGCUUCACUUGGUUAUAAAUGGUCUCUGUGUCCGCCGUAAAGGUUAUUACAACUUCAGAAUUGAACAAAAUCAUGUGUUAGUUUGUGAUUUGCAACUAUUGUUCAGUGAUGAGGAGUGGCUGGGCCUUGAUGCAUUACUUCUUGAGGAUGAGUGGAAUCAAGUGCAGGUUUCAUAUGAAGCCCCGUCUAGUGUGACACUAAGUGAUUGGGGAGUAUUUGUGUACAAGCAAGGAACCAACAUGGAAGAAUAUGUCCAAUUCAUGUGUCCCGACCUAAAGUACUCACAGCUGGUAACUGACAUAUCACCCACAAUGACAAUAGUUCCUCCAAAAGAUGAUAAGCUAGAACAGAUGAAGUUGAUAGAUCAGUUAGCUCUAGAUGAAAUGUUACCUGGGAUGUUGAGGGAAACUAGGGACAUGGAAGGCCGCAGUUCAAAUGAAGGAAAUUUACAAGACCUAAUGGCGAUUGUGAGUGGCCUAAAUAAGGAGGUUCAAGAUGCAUUAGAAGGUAAACCGCUGGAUAAAAAGUCCCCCCUGGCAUGGAUUCUUCAGAUAGUCAAUGAAUCAAAUGAUGAUAAUGAUGAGCAAGCAAACUUUGAUCAUACAGAUGAAAUGAAACCCGCCAUAGGUGUAGGAGAAGCUUCAACCUCUGGCCACCAGGGAAGGUCAGAGGCCCAAGACAGCAACGCUGAGCAGGAUGGAAUAAUGACAGGGAUAUUCUUGAAUGGAAUGGGAACGGGACUUCGUGAAGCACAGGGUAUCUUUCCUCCUCUAGAUAUAGACACUAUCAUGAUUGCUGCCUUAAAUAGAGGUGAAUGGAUUAGAUUGUCACUCCCAGAGUCUGAGGCCGAAAUGACGAUAUACAUGGAAGGAAUUAUCAAUGGACUGCUGGAAGCAAAGCUGAGCUUUCCUACUCUGAAAGAGUGGGAAAUACUAAAUACCGUGUUAAGGAAGGAAGGCCAUAAUACGAUGUUUCAACAAAUAGAUUGGACUGGAAUAGUGAUUCCAAGCUAUGAAGAUCCUUUGUUGCAAACAUUCAUGAUGAUGAAGCAAGGAAGUUGUGAAUCGGAGAGGGCCAAGAGUAAACUCUUCUGCAAGUUGCUGGAGGAACAAAAUGCUCUGCGCAAGAAAUUUGAAGAAAUUGAUAAUGAAAUUGCUACUAUGGAUAAUUCAAAGAAGGGUCACAUCCUUAAUGAGAAGCUGGCUGAUGUUUUGAAAGGAAGAGCUGAAGAAUUGCAGAGGUUCUAUGAUGCUGGUAUUGAAGGCUUCAAGAACUCAAAAGAGAUUCAAGAUCUUAUGACAGCUACAUACUCAAAUGGAAUGAGGAAUGGUGUCCUUGAAGCACGGGCCAUAUUACUUGCUCUGGACAUGGACAUAAUAACUCACGUGUUUGAGGGGAAUGAAAAUGAAAUUUCUGCUCAGGAUAAAGAUAGUCGCCUUCUUCCUUCUUCAGAAAAUCAAUAUUACAAUUUUGUGGAGAAGCUUAACACUCAAUUUGCCUGGUAUAGUUCAAAUAAGGAUCAGAGCCCUGAUGACUGCCACACAAAGGAAUCAAGCAUUUCUGACUCAAAAUCUUCUUUGGGUAGCACAAAGAUUUGUGCAAACAUUGGAAAAGAAAGUUGCAAAGAUGUUAUAAAGCAUAAGAAGCUGGCUGCUGUCUUAAAAGAAAGAGGAGAAGAAUUGACGAGUCUCUAUGAUGCUGAAAUUGAACAAUUACAGAACUCAGAAGAGAUUCAAGAUCUAAUGAGUGCCAUCUACUUGAGUGGACUGAAGGAUGGAGUCCUUGAAGCACAGGCCACCUUACUUUCUUUGAACAUGGACAAACCAACUCCUAUGUUUGAGGAGAAUGAGGAACAUAUUACUCAUAUGGCUUCCAAUGAUGAAGCUGUUAUUGAAAAUGACGAUGAUAAGACUAUUGGCAAAGAGGAUAAUCCUAGUCCUACUGGUCCAGAAGUUGACAAAACUAGGGACACUCCUUACCCCUAUGGUUGCUUCUGGAGGAUUUUGCACACUUAUUUUUGCAAGUGUUUUUCUUAGUUGUAUGAGUAAAAAAAAAUGAAUAAUUGAUGCACCUAGAUUGCACAAGCCAUGUUUUCUACUUUCAUUAUUAGUGUCUGUUGAUAGUAAUAGACAAUGAACAAGCCAUGUAAUUGCAGCUUGUGGGAAGCAAUAAGCAUUUAUUUUUGUUUAAGUGGUAACAUAGUUCUUCAAGUUACAGUUCUAAGCAUUGUAUGAAAAUGCAUUAUCAUCCACUUUGAUGUUUUAUUUUGUUUGCUUUUUUGGAAGUGUAAACUGAUCUGAAUUCCUUGUAGAUGGAUCAACUUCCAAUUGCUUGUGGCCAUAGAUUAAUUCUUGGUUUUCCAACUAUAAUUAUUUGGUUUAUUGGUAAUUAAUACUACAUCUAAAUCAUUAUUAAUUUCUUUUAUCAAUGUUUUUUUACAUUCAUUCAACAAUAUUGGUGAUCCUAUCAAUUUUCAUUUUCACCAUGGAGUGUGCAUUAGUAGUUCGAAAUCCUAUCACUUUUUGAAGAUUUUAAGACAAGUAUGGUGUAUCUGUGAUGUUUCUGUUACUUCCUUCUAAACUCGAAUCAGGGCCUGUUUGGAUUGCUUAUUUGAACUCUGAACUCAUUUGAUUAAUGAGGGCCAAAUAAAUUUAUCAGUGAAUAUACAUGGUCGACCACGCAUGAUGUAACUGGAAAUUCUGUAUCCGAAGGAAGUGUGCAUUAGUGGUCCGAAAUCCUAUCACUUUUUGAAGAUUUUAAGACAAGCAUAGUGUAUCUCUGAUGUUUCAGUUACUUCCUUCUAAACCUAAAUUAGGGCAUGUUUGGAUUGCUUGAUUUGAACUCAUUUGAUUAAUGACGGCCAAAUAAUUGAAAACACUGAUGUCAGGGAAUAAACAUGGCCGACACAUGAUGUGUCAACAAUGAUAAGAGAACAUCAAAUACGCGCUCCAGAUUCAUAUUAAAACAAUUGAAGACAUUGUUGACGGUGAAUGAGCAUUGUCGACGCAUGAUGUGUCGAUAAUGUUUAUUCAUAUUAUUAGAUAAGAAAACUUUCCGCAAUAUUUAUCAAAAAAAAAAAAAAAUCAUCACUUUAAUUCUUAUAUAUUGUGCUUUGAGGAAUUAAAUAGAAAGACUAAAAACACUCGUUUAUUGAUAUUCUGUUUUUUAUAUAAAAGUAUGGACUAAAAUUAAAUGAAACUUAUACAAGGACUAAACAUAGCAGUUCUAAUAUAAAUUUUAAAAUAUUUUGAUUUUUCUUUUUACUUAGCUCCUUUUGUGAAGAAAAAAACAUGUAGCUUUGUUACUAUAUAAAUACAACAUAUUUGACUGCUACAAAUAUUGAUAUGCAAGAACAUAAGUUUGAAUAUGAUAGGUAUCAUUUCUCCACACCAUAAAAUAUAAGAGUUUUUUUUUAUCUUAAUUAAGUUACAAGAGACCCGUGUCAUCUUAUCUAAAGGUUAUUGAUUUAAAAUAUUUUUUUAAUAAUAAAAUAUAAGAGUUUAAUUACUAAUAAAAAAAAUAAUUAAAAGAGAUUAUAAUCGAGUUCCCUACCCUCCAAAAAUGUGUAAACCAAACAUCUUAAAUUUAAAUAAUCUCACUUUCCCUCUUCAUUUCCCUCCAACAACCAAAAAAACCCUAAAAUAAAAACCCUUUAUUCCUCAAUUCAAUUCAAUCACCACACAACUGCUUCCUCCAAUCCCUAAAAUCUAAUCGCGCGCUUUCCUCCGCCGCUAGUAAUACUACUCCGAUCACACUCGUAACUCCUUUUCAACUUCCUUUUUAUCACUAUACUAUACUAUUAUAUUAUUUAUUUAUUAUUAUUCCAUGAUUUUCAAGCAUUUUCUUUCUUAUUGUUCCGACUUGCGUUGUGUCUCCAUUUUAGAGGAACCUACUUCUGACCUAACACUAUCAUUGUGUUAUUCUUUUUGUUCAAAAUUAUUAAUAAUUAAUAAAGCAUGUACUAGUGGAUGUGAAAAUUGUUCUUUGUAUCAGUGUGGAUACAAUUCUCAGGAAAAUUGAUGUGUUUGAAUAUUUUUAUUUUGAUUGUAAUGAUAUAUGUGUUGAUAUAUAUUUACUCUCUUUUCUAUGUAAAUUUCCAAUAAUAUAAUGUAGUUAAACAUUAAUGCAGACUUUCAAGUAUGACAACUAGCUUGUUUAGUUCAAAUAAUAAACGUGGUAGAAAUGAUGAUGAUGAUGAAGAAGAGCGAAAGCAGAAGCAAAGGCCACUGUUCGGUUGUACGCAUAUGAAUAAGAUUAUUAUUGCUGCGUUGAUAGGCAUCUAUUACCUGUACAUUUUGGAAGAAGAAAGUGAUAGUGAAAGUGAAGACACGGACACUGAUAAUGAUACAGAUACUGAUAUCGAUACAGAAACGGAAAGUACUGGAAGGACAAAUCAAGUUCUUGAUGAUCAAUAGAAAAGGAAACAGCUGCAAUUUUGUUAGUACAAAAGGGAUGAUUCGGAAACUUGAGCUUUAUGCUCUCAUAACUUGAGAGCCCUGUUACAAUGUGACUAAUAGAUAAGAAAAAUGAAAUGCAUUUUGGUUAUUUUGAAUUUUCAAGUUAACGA